CUCGAUUGCAUUAUACUCGAACUGAUCAACAUGUUGGUCGAAAAGAAUCUUGAAGAGUUCAAGGGGUGCUGUUCUCGCUGUGGAGCGGAUUUCUUCCAAGAGAAAAUCUAUUCCUGUGGAGCAGACUUCUUUCAAGAAAAAGUCUAUUGGAAAGAAGAAAGCAAAAUUUACUAAGAAGUAGAAAGAGGAGAAUAGGCCAAAGAAGGAAGUUUCUAGCA
RNAcentral lists this long non-coding RNA (218 nucleotides) under Elaeis guineensis (African oil palm). RNAcentral describes it as "long non-coding RNA (EGUI_LNC012929)". The record is from RNAcentral. Lineage: Eukaryota; Viridiplantae; Streptophyta; Magnoliopsida; Arecales; Arecaceae.